Molecule: ribosomal RNA, 423 nt
Filed under: Pelophryne brevipes (Zamboanga flathead toad)
Lineage: Eukaryota; Metazoa; Chordata; Amphibia; Anura; Bufonidae
Description: partial 12S ribosomal RNA
Rfam family: Bacterial small subunit ribosomal RNA
Source: RNAcentral
CUUUUAUUUACAUCAACAUCGCCAGGGAACUACGAGCUAAGCUUAAAACCCAAAGGACUUGACGGUACCCCAUAUCCACCUAGAGGAGCCUGUCCUAUAAUCGAUAACCCACGCUUAACCUCACCAUUUUUAGUUAUCAGCCUGUAUACCUCCGUCGCCAGCUUACCACGUGAGCGUUAAUAGUGAGCCAAAUGUAAUUUCACCAACACGUCAGGUCAAGGUGCAGUAAAUGGAAUGGGAAGAGAUGGGCUACACUUUCUACUUUAGAAAACACGAAUAACUAUAUGAAAUAAAGUUAGAAGGCGGAUUUAGCAGUAAAAAGGAAUCAAUAUGUCCUUUUUAAUCUAGCACUGGGGUGUGUACACACCGCCCGUCACCCUCUUCAAGACUCUAAUUCAAGUCCUUAACAAACAAAAAUCUGCU